UUUUGAGUGAGGCGGUGAUGGAUGUUGACGUGUCCUGGCGAGGUGUUUCUGUUGACGCAGCCAUGGACACUGUUUCUCUCUCUUUUUGUUCUGAGUCUUACUCACUCCCUUACCUUUUGUUGCGUGCUAUCUAAUGUUCAAAUGUGUGAGGCAUAGCAUGCAUCAUCUCAGAUCUUGCAAUUGCCGAUGAUCCUUUAUGAGUAACUCUUUCUUUAUCUCUCUCUUUCUUUUAUGUUCCUUUUCAUCAUCAUCAUCAUCAACCAUCACUCUUCAUAAUGGCAAACAUAAUGUUUUGUCCAUUUCUCUUCUUCUUCUUCUUCUUACAUGUUUUCAUUUUCCUCGUCUGGAUAUAACGAGGCAGUGACGAUGUUUCCUGAAAUUGAAUCAGGCACUCGGAGAAGGAGAGGCGUGUCAUGUUCUGUUCUGGCGAGGCGAUUCACUUUGUGUUCGCAGCCACGACAUCUCGCUCUUUUCCCCUCUCUGUCUGACAAAACCUAAAUCUGAGCCUCUUCCUUCAAAACCAUUUUCCUUUCUUCUUACUAAUUAACGUGACGACAAAACAAAACCAAUCGAAAUCAUUAUUUUCCCUAACUUUUAGAUUUAUUUUGUGAUUUUAUUCAUAUUUCUUCUGUUUCUUACUCUAUAAUUUUGUGUACUUUGUAAUUUAUUUAUGUUUUCCGACUCUUAGAUUUAUCUGUG
This 699-nucleotide long non-coding RNA is filed under the name Vigna radiata. RNAcentral's name for it is "long non-coding RNA (VRAD_LNC010803)". Lineage: Eukaryota; Viridiplantae; Streptophyta; Magnoliopsida; Fabales; Fabaceae. The record is from RNAcentral.